RNAcentral lists this ribosomal RNA (253 nucleotides) under uncultured bacterium. RNAcentral's name for it is "partial 16S ribosomal RNA". It matches the Rfam family "Bacterial small subunit ribosomal RNA", at positions 524 to 776 of the family's 1533-position model. The record is from RNAcentral.
UACGAAGGGUGCAAGCGUUACUCGGAAUUACUGGGCGUAAAGCGUGCGUAGGUGGUUUGUUAAGUCUGUUGUGAAAGCCCCGGGCUCAACCUGGGAAUGGCAAUGGAUACUGGCAGGCUAGAGUGCGGUAGAGGGUAGUGGAAUUCCCGGUGUAGCGGUGAAAUGCGUAGAGAUCGGGAGGAACACCAGUGGCGAAGGCGGCUCUCUGGGACGGUACUGACGCUGAGACGCGAAAGCGUGGGGAGCGAACAGG